RNAcentral lists this long non-coding RNA (6154 nucleotides) under Hordeum vulgare. RNAcentral's name for it is "long non-coding RNA (HVUL_LNC005032)". Lineage: Eukaryota; Viridiplantae; Streptophyta; Magnoliopsida; Poales; Poaceae. The record is from RNAcentral.
AAAAAAGAGGCAACAGAUAUUGAGUGGCAAAGCGAGAAGUGGCCGCUGUGUGCUCGAACGGCGUGCCCCUGCCUUGCUCGACAGCAGCAUAUUUUGUUUUCAGUUUUCAAAGGUCUCUCGCGGCCGGCUACGAGAAAGAUGCUCCUCUCGUGCGGAAGCCACGCCCGCCCAAGAAGAAACGGGCCGAUCCCGCCGGCCGGCCGGCCGUCCACGCUUCCGGCGACGGUUGCUUGGCUCUCGAGCCGGACGAAAAGCGCCGGACUUGACGAGGGACGUCCACAGCUGGACGGACAGCGCCCAUGCCAAACGGUUACGGUAAAAAAUAAUCUUGGACUGCAAGAAAAUACUGGCAUGUCUUUGUUUGGUCUAUUUGGCAUUUGGGUGCCCCGUUUCUCGCCUUCGUGCCGAAGCAGCAGCUACCUUCCAGGGGUUCCCGAACAAGAACAUCGUAUUCGUUGUUUAAUUUGCCUCCUCCAAUGUUACAUGCAAAUGAGAGUGGCAUCGAACAAAGCAGCUGCCGCAAGAUGCAAUGACGUGAACUGGCCCCACUGGAUUUCGGUGUUUUUCUUUUUUGCUAAUACGUGUCUCAAUUAUUCUCUUUGUAUCUAAAUACUUGUAGUUGAAGAAAAAAUACUGUAGUCUAUUCCUCUGUCACUAUCUAUAUCUAUACCUACCUAAUAAUAAAGCGGUUAUUGCUUCCGUCGGAAAACCCACCACGAUAUUUUUAUUAAAAAAAACCUUGUAAUUUUUGUGAUAGGUAGAAUCCCUGCCCUAAUAUUUCUUAAUAAAGAAAAGUUCUGUACCAUCACCGAUCGUUGCACGAGUUGACGCUCAAUGGAUUGACAUGAUGCAUGCUGGCCAGGUGAAGGAGCCCGUCGUCAAUAGAUAGCCGGACGUGACGGGAGCUUGCACGCAAUAACUCAAAUAUUGACGUUGACGCAUGCAUGCAUGUAAGCAAAUUGACGGGCGAGGGUUGCUGUCGUGUUCAGUACACUUGUCCACUAGCCGCGCUCAUCUUCCCAGGCAGUCCUGAAAUCUUAAAAAAAGAUCAUUGGUGCGACUCCACGCCAUCAAGCUCGCCCGAGGAGAAACGAGAUCUCCUCCGCUCCCUCGUCUGUGAGUCUCAUCGAAAUCGAGCUCCUGGAGAGGCAGGAGCUUGCCUCGCUACCUUGGUUGCGCUGGUUGCCGGUCGCCGGCCACCGCACUUGCGCAGUUACCUCGAGUGCCUCCAAGCGACACAGAUCUAAGGUAGGAAGGGACUUUGCGUGGAAAGAGAGAGAUGAAGACUUAGAGAGACGAUGCAUGGACAAAAUCGCUGGAAAGAGAAUAACGGCAGACAACCAACCGUCAAUAGCCUAUCCAUCUUAGCAUCAAACCAAAACAAAUAUGGUUCCCACGAAGGGGCGUGCGGUGUGUAGCAAAAUUGACUGCGUGAUGUGCUCUAGAUUUCCUAUUAUAUUCUUUCUGAUGCGUAUACUAUGGUUCAUUUUGAGCUGAGAUUUUUGCAUGCACAAGUGGAUUUUGUGCCUCCUAAUGAUUACGCAUGUCUCAUGGAUUUGUGGCUACUGGCCUACUGCUUGUUUGUCACAUGAUUAGUCACGUGGAGAUGGAUUUCUGGGUACAAGUGAUUAAGCUUGUGAUUUUAUGAUCAUUAUCUCCAUUCUUUUCUUGAUCUCGCUUUUGCACCAUCAAUUUUUCUCAUCUUCUCUUUUAAUAUGUUUUUUCUAUCGUGCCUACUAUUUUUCGUAGAUGUUGGGCAGAAAGGUUAUGCAUGGGCAGAUCCAUCAAGAUAUUACUAUACCUCGACCCAAGAUCAUCACGUGUGAGAGGUGGGUGUUUCGGUCACACAAAGACAAAAAUGAGCUUUAGUUGCACACUUUAAUGUUCAAAUUUGAAGUUGUUUGUUCAAAAUCCAUACUAAAAUGCGAAGAGUAUUGCCUAUAAAAUAAUUGUAUUUUGCGCAUAAAAAAACAAAUAUUGUUCUUCCCGUUGCAACGCACGGGCAUUUGUGCUAGUAAAUAUUUAGGUAAAAGAAACUAUAUCAUGAUGAUCAUAACACUAGUCACGUAGGAACUAAUAGAACAUCACAACGUUAGUCUUUACAUAAAGAAACACCAACAAAAAAGUUUCGUGCCGCGAAAUGAAAGUAGCCCAAAUUGUUAGAUUUUUUUCGAUGGAAACAACCUAUCAAGGUUUAAGUUUUAGACUUAGCAUUGAUGGACACAUUUUUCUAAAUUUAUUUUAGUCUUUUUGAUGACAUGAAUUUAGUGAGAGAAAAUGUUUUAAUCGACUAGACGUUUAUGAUGACUUCUUCAAUAUUAAGAUAAUAUAACGGUUCAGUCUAACGAAGAUGUUCAUAAAGGUUUAGUGUGUGAACAUGCUAGAUAUGAGUGUAUAUGCGUAUGUACGUGUGUAUGCAUCUGUGCCGUGUUGAAAAGAAAUUUUGUGGGUUUCUUUGAAACCAAGAGAGAGAACAUUGAUAUGAAUACUUUAGGUUCUAUUGCUGGUAAUAAAAAAAUUCGUGGCAUCAACUACCUGCACUAAGAACUGCGGGGGGGGGGGGGGNNNNNNNNNNNNNNNNNNNNNNNNNNNNNGAUGCGGAUGUUUUUGAAAUUAUUGGCUUUGUCAAUAGGAGAUAUAGUGUGACUGCUACGGUUAAGAACAAGCAUGAUAAGAAUGUUUGGCAAUUUGUUGCGAUUUAUGGUACUUCUUAUAAUGAACACAAACUGGAAUUUAUUACUGAGCUUCAUGAGGUGAUGAGUUGUGCAACAUAUCCCAUCAUUCUGGGUGGUGAAUUUAACUUAGUCAGAUCUGAUUCAGACAAGAGCACGGGUAUUGUGAAUCAGACAACUACUUCCGUUUUUAAUGAUUGGGUUAAUAAAUGGGGUCUGAUGGAGAUUAAUGUUGCCAACAGAAAGUAUACUUGGAGUAAUAAUCAGGAGAACCCGAUUUAUGCUACUAUUGAUAGAGUUUUUGUUUCACCGUCCUGGGAUGUUCAGUGUCCUUUGUCAGUAUUGAGAGCCUUACCUAGGAUNNNNNNNNNNNNNNNNNNNNNNNUUAUGGCUCGGAGAGUUGUCUCUCCUGGGAUGUUUAGAUUUGAGAAGUGGUGGCUAGAUCAGCCUGGUUUUAGGGAGAUGGUGGAAAAAGUUUGUAACACUCCUAGCGGAGGCAGAGAGGCCAUUGAUGUUUGGGUUCUUAAGACCAAGCGUCUUAGAAAAAAGAUUAAAGGUUGGAGUGCGAAUGUAGAAGCUGCCAUUAAAAAGAAGAAAAGAGACCUGAUUCAGGAAUUUGACAUACUGGAUGUUUUUGCGGAAACAGACAGAGUUACGGAGGAGGAUAAAAAACAUAUGAAGGAUAUUAAAGUUGAGUUGGAGGAUAUUUUAAGGAAGGAGGAAACUACCUUGUGGCGGCGGUCUAGAGAUCGGAGGAUUAAAGAGGGAGACAAGAAUAAUGCAUAUUUUCACGCUUUAGCUAAUCAUAGGCAUCGUAAGAAUCAUCUUUCUGAACUAGUGGGAGACCAGGGCCCUGUUUCUACUACGGGAGAGAUGUUGGACAUUGUGACCUCUUUUUACAAAAACUUGUUUGCCCGAGAGGAAAGACAUGAUAUACAUCUUGGUCCUGCUUUUUGGCGGGGGGAUGAAGUGAUCACUGAUUCUGAAAAUGAUGAACUACAAAAGAAUUUUUCGGAGGAAGAAAUUAAAAGUGCAACUUUUGGCUCAUAUGCCAAUGGUGCUCUUGGGCCUGAUGGCCUUUCNNNNNNNNNNNNNNNNNNNNNNNNNNNNNNNNNNNNNNNNNNNNNNNNCGUGAGAUCAAGACUGACCUUAUGGCAAUGGUUAAGGAUUUUGAGGAAGGGAGAUUAGAUUUGCAGAGGUUAAACUUUGCUUUAAUCAUUCUUAUUCCUAAAGAGCCAGAUGUCAAUGUUAUGAGGAAAUUUAGACCUAUGAGUCUUAGUAACUGUGUGGUUAAGAUCUUUUCAAAGGUGUUAACUAAUAGAUUAUCUCCUAUUAGUAACAGAUUGGUCUCUCCAAAUCAAACUGCUUUUAUUAAAGGCAGGUAUAUAUUGGAGAGUGUGGUCCUUGCUCACGAAGUGAUUCAUGAGGUGAAAAAGUCUAACAGUCCAGGGCUUAUGCUUAAGUUGGACUAUGAGAAGGCAUAUGAUAGAGUUAGUUGGGAUUUUCUGUUUGAAAUAUUAGAAUCUAGGGGUUUCUGCCCUAAGUGAAUUUCUUGGAUCAAAUGCCUACUGCAUAAUAACACUUUUAGUGUUCGAAUAAAUGAUACUACAGAGCCUUACUUUAUGAGUGGGAAAGGUCUCAAGCAGGGGGAUCCUAUAUCUCCCAUUCUUUUUAAUUUAGUGGCAGAUGUCUUUUCUAAGAUGCUAAAUAAAGCUAUUGAUCAAGGUUUAAUUUCUGGGCUGCUGGCUAAUGCAAUCCCCCCGGGGGGGGGGGGUCAUUAGUCUGCAGUAUGCGGAUGACACGCUGUUGUUUUUAGAGGAUUCAAAUGAAAAAGCAAGGAAUUUUAAAUGGAUUAUGUCCUGUUCUGAGAACCUCUCAGGUAUGAAGAUCAACUUUCACAAAAGUGAUCUCAUCACUAUCAAUAUUGAUGAAACGAGGGCUAAUCUUUUUGCCCAAAUUUUCUGUUGCAAUAUAGGAUCUUUUCCUAUUAAAUAUUUUGGGGUACCUCUUCAUUAUGACAAGUUGAGGAGGGAGGAUUUACAACCUUUAAUUGAUAGAAUUAUCAAGGGUAUCUCAGGUUGGCUAGGUAGAUAUCUUACUUUUAGGGGCAAGAUUAUUUUACUCUGUGCUUGUAUUGUGAGCAUUCCAGCUUACCUUAUCACGAUUGUGAAAUUUCUUAAGUGGGCUAUCAAUGCCAUCAACUCCCAUAUGGCCCAUUUUUUGUGGGGUAACAUGGGGGAUCAGCACAAAUUCCAUUUGGCUAGCUGGGGUUUGGUGUCUAGGAAGAAGGAAUUUGGGGGCUUGGGGAUUCCUAAUAUUAGAGAAUAUAAUAUGGCCCUACUAGCUUCCUGGGGGAAGAGAUUUUUCCUUAGUAAUUCUGGGGAGUGGAAGAGAGUGAUCACCUAUAAAUAUGAUGUGUCCAGUCCAAAUAUUUUCCGGACCAGACAACAGUUAGGCUCUCCCUUUUGGAAGGGUGUGUCCUGGGCUCUACAAGCCUCCAGGAAUUUUUACCAUUGGAAGAUUGGUAAUGGUGUUAAUGUGAGUUUUUGGCAUGACACUUGGGCUGGGGAUUGUUCCCUUAAGGUAAAAUUUUGGGAAUUGUUUGAUAUUUGCAAUCAACAGGAAUGUACUGUGUCUCAGGUUUGGGAUGGGGUGGUGCUGAGGCUUUCUUUUAGAAGAUGUGUAGAUAGUAGGGUCAUGAAUGAAUGCGAGAAUCUUAUUGGCCAUAUUAGAAAUUACCCUUUAUCUGAUUCUCCUGAUACACCUAUAUGGUCUUUGGAAGCCAGUGGUGCCUACUCUAUUAAAUCUUUCUAUAAAUGUAUUAAUUUUGGUGGUGUGGUUUCCCCUUUUGGAGAUUCUUUAUGGAAAACACUUUGGCCCCAGAAGAUUCAUGUGUUUUUGUGGCUUUGUCUUUAUAACAAGGCACUAACUAGAGAUAAUGUGGCAAAAAGAAUGACUAUGGAAGAUAAUACUUGCUUAUUUUGUAGAGAAGCUGAAUCAAUUCAACAUUUAUUCUUUGAUUGCAUGAACGCUAAACUCAUUUGGGAUGUCAUAGCUGAGUUCUUUAAAAUCAGUAAAAUAACUUGUAUUACUGAGGUUGCUUCCUUUUGGAAAGUUAACAAACAAAAACCUGUUCUGAAUUUGGUGAUUGCUGCCUCCUUGUGGAGUAUUUGAAAAUUAAGAAAAGAGUUUUGCUUCCAGGGGCGCAUGUGGAGAAAUCUGGACUGCAAUCUUGUCAAACUAAGAGGGUUGCUUCAUCGAUGGGGAGUUCUCUGCGACACUGCACAGCUAGCCGAGCUGAACCAGUUCAUCCUACUGCUGGACAAGAGGCGGGGAGAAAUAAUGAGGAUUGCCUGGCACUGUGAUCCGUGAUAUGUUGCAGAAGCUAUGUUUCAUUACAGGGUGCGCAAAAAUGUUUAGGUGUUUUGUUUUGGUCCUGUAAUAAGUAGAUACUACUUCCUUCCAGGACAAUUGCUUUUUGG